This 465-nucleotide ribosomal RNA is filed under the name Vreelandella stevensii. RNAcentral's name for it is "partial 16S ribosomal RNA". It matches the Rfam family "Bacterial small subunit ribosomal RNA", at positions 338 to 795 of the family's 1533-position model. The record is from RNAcentral. Lineage: Bacteria; Pseudomonadati; Pseudomonadota; Gammaproteobacteria; Oceanospirillales; Halomonadaceae.
CCUACGGGCGGCUGCAGUGGGGAAUAUUGGACAAUGGGGGGAACCCUGAUCCAGCCAUGCCGCGUGUGUGAAGAAGGCCCUCGGGUUGUAAAGCACUUUCAGUGAGGAAGAACGCCUGGUGGUUAAUACCCAUCAGGAAAGACAUCACUCACAGAAGAAGCACCGGCUAACUCCGUGCCAGCAGCCGCGGUAAUACGGAGGGUGCGAGCGUUAAUCGGAAUUACUGGGCGUAAAGCGCGCGUAGGUGGCUUGAUAAGCCGGUUGUGAAAGCCCCGGGCUCAACCUGGGAACGGCAUCCGGAACUGUCAAGCUAGAGUGCAGGAGAGGAAGGUAGAAUUCCCGGUGUAGCGGUGAAAUGCGUAGAGAUCGGGAGGAAUACCAGUGGCGAAGGCGGCCUUCUGGACUGAAACUGACACUGAGGUGCGAAAGCGUGGGUAGCAAACAGGAUUAGAUACCCGUGUAGUC